AGGGCUGAAGCAAGCACAUCUGAACGGGUCUGGCUGCUCCUGGACAGCUGGGGAAGGGCACCCACAGUGUUCUGAGCAGAGUUGGAAGAACACCAGAGCUGCAAUGAGUCAGAGGCUUUCAAAGUGUAUGCUGAUUAAAGAUAUAACAGAAGAGCUUUUAAAAAGAAGAUCAUCUUUCAAUUUCAUGUACAUGAAAAGAAAGGAGGGAAAUACCAAAAUGUUAACAGUAGUGAUGUCUGAGUCAUGAGCUACAGGCACUAUGGUAAGCUUAGAGGUGGAUACGUCUGGCAUCUCCACACAACACAGGCCACCACCAACCCAGUCCUCCUACGUAUACAACUGCUUUGGCACUCAGACUUCACAAGCAAGAAGCAGAUACUACAGCAAGUCUGACUGAAGCCUACAUAUGUUAGGGAGGCAAGCCUUUGUUUUAUAUCAUGACUGCAUGGGAAAAUGAAUGCUACUGUCAUCUCAGAAGGGUGCAAAGAGAGUAUUCACUGCAGUGAACUUUUAGUGGUGAAAAAUUUAAAACAACCAACAUGUUCAUCAUAGAGAAUAUAACCCCAAAAACUCAGAUGUAAAAACCAAAGGAAUGUUAUGAUACCUUCAUUUUCUUAGUUAAGAUUUGUAUGCAUGAGUAAUGUUCACUUUAGGAGAAACAGGACAGUUCCUGAGACUAACAGUGUGAAGUGGUCAUUCAGGAAAGGAAGAUUGUCUUUUUAAACAUGAUCACACUUCAUUGCCAUUGAAUACAUUGGAGCUGCACAUAACACUGGAGGAUUCACCACCCAGCAUGAAGCAAGAUGAGGGUGCUAAAUACUUGGUUCUGAAAAGUGUAUUAACUAAUGAAGAACCUGAAAAUAUCUUAGAAAAUAACUGCUGCAUAAAGUAUAGGAAACAAGGGAGACCAGGCAGAGAGAUCAGAACUCCCGGUAUCUGAUAAUGGAACAACGUGACAUAGUAAGUUAUUUGACUUAAAAAAAAAAGCAAUAAACUUCCUGGGCAAAAAGUGUUACUUACUACCCGAACAACAGCUUAGGGGGUACUGGAAUUGAAAGAAUCCCUAAGAAACUUAAUUCAAAAUCAGAAUUAUUUGGAGACAAAAACCAUUCAAUUUGUUUAGGGACAGCUAAUUUAACAAAUAAUACUUUCAAAUUACUAAAAAAAUUUAUAACAUGUUCCAAACUAAACCCAGUGCUUAUACAAUACUUACUUCUAUGUAAUACCGCAGAGGAUAGUAACCUUUAACAGAAUUUAGAUGGAGUUUAAACAAAGCAGUGUUCUGAGUAAAACUCAAAGUAAAGCAUGGCUGUGUAUAAAAGGGUCAACUCCAGACUAGACCACAAAGUGGACCCAGAGUCCUGUGCUUUGGAAACAGUAGGAUUAAGAUAGACGCAGAAUGUCCAGAAACCCCGUUAUCUAAAACUCUAUGCGUGGGUUAUAAAUCAAGGCCACAUCUCUGUCAAAAAGGGCUUAGAUUUUCCAGGCAAGAGAAGGAUGCUUCAUUCUUACUCACAUAAUUACAAACACCAAAGUUUCUGUAUCUAUGAUUGUAGAAAACAAAGUUUCUCAUUGAGUAGGAAAGCAGUCAGUCACUAGAAGAAGGCUGCUAUUAUGACACUUUACAGCUGCAGUAUGUCCUUAGGGGACAUUGCAUCCUGUUAACUGUGCAGCUGGCUUUAUCUGUGCCUAUUCUUCUAGUCUGAUGAACGACGGCUGAGUGGAUUUUUACCUACUUAGUUUGAGCUAAUUUUUACUUUCUCAUGGGAAAUCCUAAAUGCUGAACACUGUGCUAAGUGCUUUGCAUUCAUUAUUUCAUUUAAUCUUUGCAACAAUCCUUGCUAGCAUCCUGUUUUACAGAUGAGGACACUGAGGCUUGGAGGUAUCUAAAGUUGUUUCUUCAAGGUCACACAGCUAGCAUCAGAGCCAUUUCAAACCCAGGUCUCCUAACUCUAAACCUAGUCUUUGUAAUAUCUUUACUUCAAACAAAUGUAGAAAUUAAAGACUAUUCAAAGAAAGAGUGACAAAAUUCAUUUUGUGGGAAAGUGGCAGGUUCAUGCACUAUAGGUAAGACUGUAGAUUGGAACAAUUUCUCUGGAGGUGUGUUUGGCAAAUAUGAAGUAUAAAAUUUUAACCAUAUACCCUUUGAGCCAGCAAUUAAUCUAGGAAUUUAACCUAAGAAAAUAAAUUUCAAGCUGUGUACAGAGGCAUACAUUAGAAUUACAGCAUUAUUUGUAAAAAUAAACACACAAACAAAAAAACAGAAACAAUGUAAACAUUUUCAGUAAGGGAUUGGUUAAUUAAAUGGACAAAGAGACAUACAGCACAAGAGUAUUCAGCCAUUUUAAUGAUGAAAAUAGAUUGUAUGGUUAAGGAUACCAGAUUAUCAAUUAGCAUUUAUGGUGGUGUUCCUUUAUGUAAAAUCAAAUGCCUUACUAUAUUUAUAUGUGCAAACAUACAAUGCAUAGAAAGGUGUUCACAAUGUUUUUCUCUGGCUCAAUAGUUUUGUUUUUUACUUCUUUUGAAUAUUUUAUGAAUUUGUUUCAUUACUACAAAAUAAAAAACUAUUUGAAAAAAAGAAUGUCCAAGUUAGAUCAGUUCUUGCUUCA
Manis javanica (Malayan pangolin) is the source of this 2609-nucleotide long non-coding RNA. RefSeq lists it as uncharacterized. Lineage: Eukaryota; Metazoa; Chordata; Mammalia; Pholidota; Manidae. The record is from RefSeq and is a predicted model, not a curated record.